Anopheles merus is the source of this 614-nucleotide long non-coding RNA. RefSeq lists it as uncharacterized. The record is from RefSeq and is a predicted model, not a curated record. NCBI's taxonomy places the organism in Eukaryota, Metazoa, Arthropoda, Insecta, Diptera, Culicidae. The transcript has 2 exons.
GGCCUUGAACGCUGCGAUUAAUUAUUGCUGUUAAGCAGAACAUCAGACAACCGGAUUCUUUAUUAUCUUUCGCCCUCACACUGUGUUAUCCAUAUGUCUGUAUCACACAGUGGUUCACAAAAUUUUGGAUCAAAACAAUUUAAAACUUGUUUUUAACAUCAAUUUAACCACCACCAAGUGAAGAAUUCAUGUGUAACCAAGUAAAUGGAAAUUAAAUUGGCUGAAAAGAUCCAUUAGAAUAUUUACGUUUAUUUUAGAAUUAUUUGCAAAUUGAUAUUUUGUACAAAUUACUCGAAGUUCGAUAAGUUUACAAAAAGUGGAAUUUUGGAAAAUGUAUCUUUCUUUCGUUAUUAUUACUGUCAGUGCGAUCUAUGAACUCUUAUCGGGGAAAGACUUUUCUGGUUUGUUGAUAUGCAAUCGGAGAAGGUCAGAGGCUCAGGCCUGAUCUUGAAGUCUUUAUUGGCAGAGAGAUAGUCUCUCAGAGAAUAGCCAAUGGUUGUUAGCAGCUCAAAAUAAAAAUAUGACAAAACAUUGCUAAAAAAUAAUUACAAUUUUUCGCUAUACUAAUGUAAGUUUUUUACCGUUUUAACCAAUAAAUGGUGCUAUAAUUUGGA